GGCUGGUCUGAGUACAGUGGUGUUUAUAAGAAAUUAAUCAUACCCAGUUACAGAUUCCUUUGUUCCUUCUCCACUCCCACUGCUACACUUGACUAGCCUUAA
Otolemur garnettii (small-eared galago) is the source of this 102-nucleotide unclassified non-coding RNA. It matches the Rfam family "Y RNA". From Rfam's summary of the family: Y RNAs are components of the Ro ribonucleoprotein particle (Ro RNP), in association with Ro60 and La proteins. The Y RNAs and Ro60 and La proteins are well conserved, but the function of the Ro RNP is not known. The record is from Ensembl. NCBI's taxonomy places the organism in Eukaryota, Metazoa, Chordata, Mammalia, Primates, Galagidae.